Molecule: ribosomal RNA, 468 nt
Filed under: uncultured bacterium
Lineage: Bacteria
Description: partial 16S ribosomal RNA
Rfam family: Bacterial small subunit ribosomal RNA
Source: RNAcentral
GACGAACGCUGGCGGCGUGCUUAACACAUGCAAGUCGAACGGAAAGGCCCUGCUUUUGUGGGGUGCUCGAGUGGCGAACGGGUGAGUAACACGUGAGUAACCUGCCCUUGACUUUGGGAUAACUUCAGGAAACUGGGGCUAAUACCGGAUAGGAGCUCCUGCUGCAUGGUGGGGGUUGGAAAGUUUCGGCGGUUGGGGAUGGACUCGCGGCUUAUCAGCUUGUUGGUGGGGGAGUGGCUUACCAAGGCUUUGACGGGUAGCCGGCCUGAGAGGGUGACCGGCCACAUUGGGACUGAGAUACGGCCCAGACUCCUACGGGAGGCAGCAGUGGGGAAUAUUGCACAAUGGGCGGAAGCCUGAUGCAGCAACGCCGCGUGCGGGUUGACGGCCUUCGGGUUGUAAACCGCUUUCGCCUGUGACGAAGCGUGAGUGACGGUAAUGGGUAAAGAAGCACCGGCUAACUACGUG